This 546-nucleotide ribosomal RNA is filed under the name Triticum aestivum (bread wheat). RNAcentral's name for it is "partial small subunit ribosomal RNA". The record is from RNAcentral. Lineage: Eukaryota; Viridiplantae; Streptophyta; Magnoliopsida; Poales; Poaceae.
AUGGGCACGGGAGAGGACGACGACGCGACGACGGCAGAACAAGGCGGAGAGGAUGAUGAGCAGACGCGGGACGCAGGAGGAGGAGGGGUGAUGGCGAGCCUGGUGGGCAAGGCCAAGGGGUUCGUGACGGAGAAGAUCGCGCAGAUGCCCAAACCCGAGGCUUCGCUAGAGCGGGUCUCGUUCAAGAGCAUCAGCCGCGAGGGCGUGGCGCUCCACAGCCACGUCGACGUCAGCAACCCCUACUCGUACCGCAUCCCCAUCUGCGAGCUCACCUACACGUUCAAGAGCGACGGAAACGUCAUAGCAUCAGGCACGAUGCCUGACCCCGGGUGGAUCGGCGCGAGCGGCACCACCAAGCUGGAGCUGCCAGUGAAUGUGCCCUACGACUUCGUCAUGUCACUGAUGAAAGAUCUGAGCGGGGACUGGGACAUCGACUACGUGUUGGAGGUCGGGAUCACCAUCGACCUCCCCGUCAUCGGCACCUUCACCAUCCCGGUCAGCACCGAGGGGGAGAUGAAGCUCCCCACGUUUCGGGAUUUGUUCUGA